GAUGAACGCUGGCGGCGUGCCUAAUACAUGCAAGUCGAGCGAACAGACGAGGAGCUUGCUCCUCUGACGUUAGCGGCGGACGGGUGAGUAACACGUGGAUAACCUACCUAUAAGACUGGGAUAACUUCGGGAAACCGGAGCUAAUACCGGAUAAUAUAUUGAACCGCAUGGUUCAAUAGUGAAAGACGGUUUUGCUGUCACUUAUAGAUGGAUCCGCGCCGCAUUAGCUAGUUGGUAAGGUAACGGCUUACCAAGGCAACGAUGCGUAGCCGACCUGAGAGGGUGAUCGGCCACACGGGAACUGAGACACGGUCCAGACUCCUACGGGAGGCAGCAGUAGGGAAUCUUCCGCAAUGGGCGAAAGCCUGACGGAGCAACGCCGCGUGAGUGAUGAAGGUCUUAGGAUCGUAAAACUCUGUUAUUAGGGAAGAACAAAUGUGUAAGUAACUAUGCACGUCUUGACGGUACCUAAUCAGAAAGCCACGGCUAACUACGUG
Molecule: ribosomal RNA, 497 nt
Filed under: uncultured bacterium
Lineage: Bacteria
Description: partial 16S ribosomal RNA
Rfam family: Bacterial small subunit ribosomal RNA
Source: RNAcentral